This 772-nucleotide unclassified non-coding RNA is filed under the name Leishmania donovani. RNAcentral describes it as "gene:unknown". The record is from RNAcentral. Lineage: Eukaryota; Euglenozoa; Kinetoplastea; Trypanosomatida; Trypanosomatidae.
CUCUGCGUGGAAGGAGACCUAGUAUCCCACCACCGUCCUUCACCGCUUCCCCGCGACGCCACCGGCUUCCCUUUUUUUCUCCUUCCCCUCCCUCCCUCUAUUUCAUCUCUGCCAGAUACAGGCGAGUCUGCACAGGCCCUUCAUGGUCGCUUUCGCAGAGCUUCAGUACCGUGAAGCCGUAGCCCCCACAUCAACGUUGUGUUUGCUUAGUUUUUGUUUGUUGUAGGACACCACGGAAGUCGCCAAGUGCGAAACUACGGCUGUGCAUCGUUAUAUUACGUGUGUGUGUGUGUGUGGAGAGGGGCAUCUUCGCUGUUCUGUGCCCGCGAGUUUGCACGCUCCCUGUUUGGUUCUUCGACAGAUCGUGCGUGUGCAUCAAGCUCUCAAGCGAAGGCAAGAAACCGUCGGAGGUAUUGUUCUCUCUGUCUUUUCGUGUACUGUUGUUGUUUUCAUGUACGGCACUCGAAGCCGAUCUGUGUCGAGACACAACGUCAUCUUUUCGUUUCUGAGUUCAAGUCUCUGCCUCUGCGCUCUCUGCUCUCUUCGGUUUCACCUAUAUGGUUGAUUGGCGCGCGCACGCGGUUCCUGUCCGCUUCCGUGCGCUCUGUGUGUCUAUGCUUGCGCAGCGACAUCACUUUUCCUUCUCCCCCUGACACCUAUCUAUGUGUAUGUGUGAUUCCUGUUGCAUCGACGUCCGUUCUCUUCUCCGCUUGCUGUUGUGUCACCCCUCCUUUUCCUCUUCUCCGCAUUCUGCUCGUCGUGGCCGACUAAG